AUAGGGGUUCCUCCCUCCAAGUUGCUGCUCAAAGGCUGCAUAAAAGAUUCAUCUAUUGCUUAUGAAAAGAGAAGGAAUACAUGGCUAUUUAUAGGGCUUCUAAACCCUAACUCCUAAUAGGACUCCUACUUAAGACUCUUACUUCUAACCAACUCCUAAUAGGACUCUUACUCAAGACUCCUAUUCCCUUACAACUCCUAAUUCUUCUCUAAGAAAAAACCUCCUACAUGAAUGCCCCUCUCAAUUAGGACUCUCCUAGCUAGAGUCCUAACAGAAUGUCCCUUUCAAUUAGGACUCUCCUAGCUAGAGUCCUAACAGUUUUACAUGAAUGUCCCACUCAAUUAGGACUCUCCAAACUAGAGUCCUAACAGACCCGCCCUCUUCAAAUCAGCCUUGUCCUCGAGGUUGAUGAUUUGUGAAUUCUGGGAAUUUGAUCUUCAAGUCGUCAUAGUUCUCCCAAGUGGCAUCUUCUAUUGGUAGGUUUGCCCACUGUAUUAG
RNAcentral lists this long non-coding RNA (498 nucleotides) under Musa acuminata (dwarf banana). Its description in RNAcentral is "long non-coding RNA (MACU_LNC010406)". The record is from RNAcentral. Lineage: Eukaryota; Viridiplantae; Streptophyta; Magnoliopsida; Zingiberales; Musaceae.